RNAcentral lists this ribosomal RNA (394 nucleotides) under uncultured Anaeromyxobacter sp. RNAcentral describes it as "bacterial SSU rRNA". It matches the Rfam family "Bacterial small subunit ribosomal RNA", at positions 67 to 447 of the family's 1533-position model. The record is from RNAcentral. Lineage: Bacteria; Pseudomonadati; Myxococcota; Myxococcia; Myxococcales; Anaeromyxobacteraceae.
CGAGAAAGCCCGCAAGGGUGAGUACAGCGGCGCACGGGUGCGUAACACGUGGGUAAUCUACCUCGAAGUCCGGAAUAACUCCCCGAAAGGGGUGCUAAUGCCGGAUGAGACCACGGGAGCCGAGGCUCCCGAGGGAAAAGAUGGCCUCUGCAUGCAAGCUAUCGCUUCGAGAUGAGCCCGCGGCCCAUCAGCUCGUUGGCGGGGUAACGGCCCACCAAGGCUACGACGGGUAGCUGGUCUGAGAGGACGAUCAGCCACACUGGAACUGAGACACGGUCCAGACUCCUACGGGAGGCAGCAGUGGGGAAUCUUGCGCAAUGGGCGAAAGCCUGACGCAGCAACGCCGCGUGUGUGAUGAAGGUCUUCGGAUCGUAAAGCACUGUCGCGAGGGACG